Molecule: ribosomal RNA, 225 nt
Filed under: Lycus sp. UPOL LF0139
Lineage: Eukaryota; Metazoa; Arthropoda; Insecta; Coleoptera; Lycidae
Description: partial 18S small subunit ribosomal RNA
Rfam family: Eukaryotic small subunit ribosomal RNA
Source: RNAcentral
GGCGCGCAAAUUACCCACUCCCGGCACGGGGAGGUAGUGACGAAAAAUAACGAUACGGGACUCAUCCGAGGCCCCGUAAUCGGAAUGAGAACAAUUUAAAUCCUUUAACGAGGAUCAAUUGGAGGGCAAGUCUAGUGCCAGCAGCCGCGGUAAUUCCAGCUCCAAUAGCGUAUAUUAAAGUUGUUGCGGUUAAAAAGCUCGUAGUCGAAUCUGUGUCCUGUACCG